UUCCAUCCAAAGAGUUCAAUCUUGGUUUCAUCAGACCAGAGACUUGUUUCUCAUGGUCUGGGAGUCCUUUAGGUGCCUUUUGGCAAAUUGCAAGUGGGCUGUCAUCUGCCUUUUCCUGAUCAUUGGACUGCUGCAGAGAUGGUUGUCCUUCUGGAAGGUUCUCCCAUCGCCACAGAAGAACUGAGGCAAUGGAAAGAUGUGGGUUGAUGAAAGAGAAACAAGCCACCACCACCACUCAGAGCAUCCAAGGCCAGAAGAGGAAGAGGUGCCAGCUCUGCCCAAGCGCAAAAGAUAGAAAAGUCAGCUGCUGGUGUUCUCAGUGCAACACAUCCGUCUGCAAAGAGCAGUCACAUGCUUGUGGUUUGUAACAAAUGCAUGGACUAAGACAGCAUAAAUGGUGUUAAAGCACUCCGUACCAACGCCACUGCUCCUGUGUUGCAGGAAGUGCUGUGUGCAAUCAUCUGGUGGCCUUUCUUUACCAGACAGCGCACAACUCUCAACUGAACAUUCCUGCUGCCACCACCAGUUCACAGCUGCACAGACACAGAACAGCGUUGGCACGAGCCAAGAACACUUCUGAGUCUAUCAAUAUCCAUAAAAAAAUGCACCUGAAAAGUAUUCAGCCUAUGUAACAGUAAAUCCUUGUUAAUUAUUGUGUGAAGCCAGGUCCGGUUGAUGGGAUAGAGUUCCGUAAACCUACUAACUGGAGUGCUGAUGGAAUAAGAAGUUGUCUCUACAAAGCACUCCAUGGAUAUACGCCUGACAUGGACCUUCUCCGCGUCUCAGAAACAUAUGCCAACUUUUCUCCACUUACUUCCCCUCUUGUGACACUAAUGGAAAUGUCAGCUGAUGUGCCCCUGGUUGAGUCCGCCUUUGGGCCAGUGCAAGCUGGCAGUGUGCUGUCCUAUCAACUUCCACAGCCAAAGACCCGUGAAAUUGUGAAAAUUGCCGAUGCCCCUUCUCCAUUAAUACUUCCGUUAGAUGGC
Long non-coding RNA from Oncorhynchus keta (chum salmon), 986 nucleotides. RefSeq lists it as uncharacterized. The transcript has 3 exons. The record is from RefSeq and is a predicted model, not a curated record. NCBI's taxonomy places the organism in Eukaryota, Metazoa, Chordata, Actinopteri, Salmoniformes, Salmonidae.